UACGUAGGGGGCAAGCGUUGUCCGGAUUUAUUGGGCGUAAAGAGCGUGUAGGCGGUUCGUUAGGUCCGUUGUGAAAACUCGAGGCUCAACCUCGAGACGCCGAUGGAAACCCCCGAACUAGAGUCCGGAAGAGGAGAGUGGAAUUCAUGGUGUAGCAGUGAAAUGCGUAGAGAUCAUGAGGAAGACCAGUGGCGAAGGCGGGUCUCUGGACAGUUCCUGACACUGAGACACGAAGGCCAGGGGAGCAAACAGG
Molecule: ribosomal RNA, 253 nt
Filed under: uncultured bacterium
Lineage: Bacteria
Description: partial 16S ribosomal RNA
Rfam family: Bacterial small subunit ribosomal RNA
Source: RNAcentral